RNAcentral lists this ribosomal RNA (441 nucleotides) under uncultured bacterium. RNAcentral describes it as "partial 16S ribosomal RNA". It matches the Rfam family "Bacterial small subunit ribosomal RNA", at positions 338 to 795 of the family's 1533-position model. The record is from RNAcentral.
CCUACGGGAGGCAGCAGUGGGGAAUAUUGCACAAUGGGGGAAACCCUGAUGCAGCGACGCCGCGUGAGCGAGGAAGUAUUUCGGUAUGUAAAGCUCUAUCAGCAGGGACGAAAAAAGACGGUACCUGACUAAGAAGCCCCGGCUAACUACGUGCCAGCAGCCGCGGUAAUACGUAGGGGGCACGCGUUAUCCGGAUUUACUGGGGGGAAAGGGAGCGUAGACGGCAAGGCAAGGCAGAAGGGAAAGGGCCGGGCUUAACCCUGUACAUGCUUUUGGAACUGGGGUGCUAGAGUGCAGGAGAGGUAAGUGGAAUUCGCGGUGUAGCGGUGAAAUGCGUAGAUAGUAGGAGGAACACCAGUGGCGAAGGCGGCUUACUGGACUGUAACUGACGUUGAGGCUCGAAAGCGUGGGGAGCAAACAGGAUUAGAUACCCUGGUAGUC